This 440-nucleotide ribosomal RNA is filed under the name uncultured bacterium. Its description in RNAcentral is "partial 16S ribosomal RNA". It matches the Rfam family "Bacterial small subunit ribosomal RNA", at positions 338 to 795 of the family's 1533-position model. The record is from RNAcentral.
CCUACGGGGGGCAGCAGUGGGGAAUAUUGCACAAUGGGGGAAACCCUGAUGCAGCGACGCCGCGUGAGUGAAGAAGUAUUUCGUUACGUAAAGCUCUAUCAGCAGGGAAGAAAAUGACGGUACCUGAGUAAGAAGCCCCGGCUAAGUACGUGCCAGCAGCCGCGGUAAUACGUAGGGGGCAAGCGUUAUCCGGAUUUACGGGGUGUUAAGGGAGUGUAGACGGUGCGCCAAGUCUGGAGUGAAAUGCCGCAGCUUAACUGCGGAACUGCUUUGGAAACUGGCGAACUAGAGUGCGGGAGGGGUAAGCGGAAUGCCUGGUGUAGCGGUGAAAUGCGGAGAUAUUAGGCGGAACACCGAUGGCGAAGGCGGCUUACUGAACCGUAACUGACGUUGAGGCACGAAAGCGUGGGGAGCAAACAGGAUCAGAUACCCUAGUAGUC